Molecule: long non-coding RNA, 1183 nt
Filed under: Capra hircus (goat)
Lineage: Eukaryota; Metazoa; Chordata; Mammalia; Artiodactyla; Bovidae
Description: lncRNA (ENSCHIG00010016080.1)
Source: RNAcentral
UUAUUUCAUCUUUUUAAGCAUUUAUACUAUCUUUUUUUACUAAUUUUUAUAUUUAUUCUUUUUGGUUUUCCUUUCAUAAGUGUGAUUACUUCAUAUGCAUUUAAUUCUGUGCUAAGUAUUUGAUCAUAUUUCAUCUGUUUCAGAGCAAUAGUUCUUUCUUAUGAGUGAAUGCAUUUUGUUGUUAUUUUUGAGAUUGUUUUUCUUAUAAUAUCUUGAGCUCAACUUGGCUUAAGAGGGUACUUCCCCAUGUUCCCAUCUCUUAUUCGAAAUGAGAAGUGUAGUUUUGAACUUUGAGAGAGCCUCUUAUUUUCAAGAAGGGCAUUUUUGUUGGGAUCUUAGAGAAUUUUCUGCUCCUGGGCUCUUCAAUGUAUCGCAUGUCUUCGUCUUGAUCUCAGCUACUUAUACAAGCCCUUGUUUAUAUUUUUGAAUUGAAUAUUAUAACCCAGUGUCCCUGAAAAUGGAGUUUUUAUGUUGUGUCUUUUAUAGUUAAUUCAUUAAAAUUAUAAGAAGAAAUAGAGGCAAAAUUGUGACAUAUACAGCUGUAUUCAUAUCAAUAUAUUUUCCUUUUUAUUGUUAGUUCAUGUAUUAAUCAAUUGCUCUCAGAAGCUAUAAUUUAUUAGGAUCUCUCUUGAUUAUUUCACUUGGCUCAUUUUCUCUGGCUUCAGGAUUUCUUAUAUGUGCUAGCAGUUCUUUUUAUUUACUCACUGGGACUCAGGUUGAAGUCUGUAGUACAUUAAUUUGGAGCCAUGUCAUGAAUGGUAGGAAGUUCUGUAGUCUUGUAGCAAAAGCAUGGUGUCAGUUCUCUACUAAAAAUAUAGUAAAGAAAAAAAAUACAGCCUUUUUUUUUUUUCUCUUCUCUUUGAGAUGUUCCAGACCCUGGUCUAGACAGGACUCAUUACUGGUUCAUCUCUCCCUCAGCUGUUCAGGAGCUAGAGGAAUCAGGCCCACUCCUAUGGACUUACAUGACCCCUUUUUUCUGGAAUCCAUACUGUUCUGCAGGUCACGUACUUGUCAGGAUCCACAACUACUGUCCUCCCCUGGAUCCUCUCAAGAUCUCAUCAGCCUCAGAGUAGUGAAACUCCUGUGCUGGUUCUGGAUUUUAGAAUCCUUUCAGUGUCUGCGGCUUCACCAGCACCUUCCAGUGUCGUCUGGGUUUUUGCUGGGGGUAAAGGAGCUCCCUUGA